RNAcentral lists this long non-coding RNA (286 nucleotides) under Sorghum bicolor (sorghum). RNAcentral describes it as "long non-coding RNA (SBIC_LNC015684)". The record is from RNAcentral. Lineage: Eukaryota; Viridiplantae; Streptophyta; Magnoliopsida; Poales; Poaceae.
GCUAGUGCCAAUAAGAAGAUUAAGGAAUUAGAGCGCCGCUAAGUUAUCUAGAUUAGACCUUGAGGCAAUGCAUCUUAGUUAUUUAUCUUUAAAUUCGGUUUAGAUUUACUAUUAUCGUCGGUUUGCUACUAUUACUGUCAGUUUUCUACUAGUCUUUUGUAAUAAAUGCCUCAAGAUUAAUAAAGAGUAUUAUUAUUAUUACUAUUAUGUCUUGUGUAUCUCUACUUUAUCCUUGUGCAAGAAAGCAGAAAACAAGUAUGGGGAGAUCCCUCGACAUGCCAAACAC